GACGAACGCUGGCGGCGUGCUUUACACAUGCAAGUCGAACGGUAAGGCCCUGUUUUUUUGUGGUGCUUGAGUGGCGAACGGGUGAUUAACACGUGAGUAACCUGCCCUUGACUUUGGGAUAACUUCAGCUAACUUGGUCUCACACCGGAUAUGAGCUCCUGCUCCAUGGUGGGGGCUGGAAAGUUUCGGCUGUUGCGGUUGGACUCGCGGCUUAUCAGCUUGUUGGUUGGUUAGUGGCUUACCUACGCUUUGGCGGGUAGCCGGCAUGUGUGGGUGACCGGCGACAAGGGGACUGAGAGACGGAGCAGACGGCAACGGGAGGCAGCAGUGGGGAGUAUUGCACAGUGGGCGGGAGCGUGAGGAAGAGACGCCGCGGGUGGGAUGAGGGCCUGCGAGGUGUAAAACGCUUUCGGCUGUGACGAAGCGUGAGUGACGGUAAUGGGUAAAGAAGCACCGGCUAACUACGUG
RNAcentral lists this ribosomal RNA (468 nucleotides) under uncultured bacterium. Its description in RNAcentral is "partial 16S ribosomal RNA". It matches the Rfam family "Bacterial small subunit ribosomal RNA", at positions 28 to 507 of the family's 1533-position model. The record is from RNAcentral.